This 1442-nucleotide ribosomal RNA is filed under the name metagenome. RNAcentral's name for it is "bacterial SSU rRNA". It matches the Rfam family "Bacterial small subunit ribosomal RNA". The record is from RNAcentral.
AGAGUUUGAUCCUGGCUCAGAACGAACGCUGGCGGCAGGCUUAACACAUGCAAGUCGAACGAUGUAGCAAUACAUAGUGGCGCACGGGUGAGUAACGCGUGGGAAUGUACCUUUUAGUUCGGAAUAACUGCGGGAAACUGCAGCUAAUACCGGAUAAGCCCUCAGGGGGAAAGAUUUAUCGCUAAAAGAUCAGCCCGCGUUAGAUUAGCUAGUUGGUAAGGUAAUGGCUUACCAAGGCUUCGAUCUAUAGCUGGUCUGAGAGGAUGAUCAGCCACACUGGAACUGAGACACGGUCCAGACUCCUACGGGAGGCAGCAGUGGGGAAUAUUGGACAAUGGGCGAAAGCCUGAUCCAGCCAUGCCGCGUGAGUGAUGAAGGCCUUAGGGUUGUAAAGCUCUUUUACCAGGGAAGAUAAUGACGGUACCUGGAGAAUAAGCACCGGCUAACUUCGUGCCAGCAGCCGCGGUAAUACGAAGGGUGCUAGCGUUGUUCGGAAUUACUGGGCGUAAAGCGCGCGCAGGCGGUUUUUCAAGUCAGAGGUGAAAGCCCAGGGCUUAACCCUGGAAUUGCCUUUGAAACUGGGAAACUAGAGUGUCGGAGGGGAUAGCGGAAUUUCUAAUGUAGCGGUGAAAUGCGUAGAUAUUAGAAGGAACACCGGUGGCGAAGGCGGCUAUCUGGACGACAACUGACGCUGAGGCGCGAAAGCGCGGGGAUCAAACAGGAUUAGACACCCUGGUAGUCCGCGCUGUAAACGAUGGGUGCUAGCUGUUGGGGUUUAAACCUCAGUGGCGACGCUAACGCAUUAAGCACCCCGCCUGGGGAGUACGGUCGCAAGAUUAAAACUCAAAGGAAUUGACGGGGACCCGCACAAGCGGUGGAGCAUGUGGUUUAAUUCGAGGCAACGCGAAGAACCUUACCAGGCCUUGACAUGGGUAGUUUGAUCGCCGGAGAUGGCUUUCUUCAGUUUGGCUGGCUACCACACAGGUGCUGCAUGGCUGUCGUCAGCUCGUGUCGUGAGAUGUUGGGUUAAGUCCCGCAACGAGCGCAACCCUCGUCCUUAGUUGCCAUCAUUUAGUUGGGAACUCUAAGGAAACUGCCGGCGAUAAGCUGGAGGAAGGUGGGGAUGACGUCAAGUCUUCAUGGCCCUUACGGCCUGGGCUACACACGUGCUACAAUGGCAGUGACAAUGGGAAGCUACCUCGCGAGAGGACGCUAAUCUCAAAACGCUGUCUCAGUUCGGAUUGCUCUCUGCAACUCGAGAGCAUGAAGCUGGAAUCGCUAGUAAUCGCGGAUCAGCAUGCCGCGGUGAAUACGUUCCCGGGUCUUGUACACACCGCCCGUCACACCAUGGGAGUUGGUUCUACCUUAAGCCGGUGCGCUGACCGCAAGGAGGCAGCCGACCACGGUAGGGCUAAUGACUGGGGUGAAGUCGUAACAAGGUA